AUGAGGCGCGAGCUGGCGCCUUUUCGCGCGCGCGCAAACGGUUCCUGCGCGCGCGAUUAUCCCGCCACCGCUGGAGCGCGGCAAAACGCCCCGCGCGCGCUAAAAGCUGCGUUUACCCCGCGCGCGCGUCGUUUCGCGCGGUGCACUAAUGCUCCUCGAGCUUCCUCCUUCCCAAGCUGCGAAGCAAGCACCGUACCAAGGACAAGCCAUGAGCUCCCGCCGUCUCCUACUCCUACCACCCUAGUCCUGGUACUGCUGCUACACCUCUACUACGCGCCGCGCUGGGCCUUCUCGCUCUCCUUCAACCUCAACUUCUCCGACCCCAGCGCCGGCUCGUGGGUCGACCUGGACGGCGAUGCAUUCAUCGCUUCGCCAAGGCUCGAGCUGACGAAAAACGUCCUGAGCAGCAUCGGCCGGGCAUCGUUCCGACACAAAGUGCCGCUGUGGAACGGCGCCAUCGGCGAGAUGGCCAGCUUUGCCACCAACUUCUCCUUCCGAAUCAUGCCGGAGAAGGCCGGCCUGAAUGGGACAGGAGGCGACGGGAUGGCCUUCUUCCUUGUGCAUUUCCCUUCGGAGAUCCCGCCCAGCAGCAAAGGCGGCGGCCUCGGCCUCCUCCCGUCCUUCACCAACGGGACGGGCCGCACCCGGGUCGUGGCCGUGGAGUUCGACACUCUCCGCAACUUGCACUAUGCCAUUAACGGCAACCAUGUCGGCAUCAACGUCAGCUCCGUCACCUCCGUGGCGUCCACGGACACGACGACGAGGCCGGGCAGGAACCUCACGUCGUCCUAUGUUAUGGUGGCCAGUGUGAGGUACCAUAACGAGUCCCGGAUGCUGGCCGUUGAUCUCCUCAUCGACUAUGCCUUGUACCAGGUCAAUGCAACCAUCGAUCUCAGCAGAUGCUUACCGGAGGAGGUUGCUGUCGGCUUCUCCGCCGCGACCGGGGACGCCUCCGAGCUGCACCAAAUAUUGUCAUGGUCAUUUAGCUCCACUCUACCUCCUCUUCCGACUAGGAACAACCACAAAAAGUUAGUAAUUAUCCUACUAUCCGUACUAGUCCCAUUUCUCCUUUUAUUAGUGUGUGCGGCCGUGGUGCUAUGGCGGCGCCACAAGAAAAUGAGAACAAAUAAGGACAGCCAAGAACGGUGUGUCAACAGAGCUGACCUCGAGAGAGGUGUGGCUGCCGGCGGUCCCAAACGGUACACCUACCAAGAGCUGGUUGCGGCAAUGAAACACUUCGCCGAGGAGGAGAAGCUCGGGCAAGGCGGCUUCGGUAGCGUUUACCGGGGUCACCUCACGCUCACACCCUCAACCGCCGACCAUAGUGCGGUGGCGGUAAAGAUGUUGUCGGCGGAGCUGUCGGCGCAGGGGAGGAAGGAGUUUGAGGCUGAGGUGAGGAUCAUCAGCAGACUGAAGCAUCGGAACCUUGUGCAACUGUUGGGUUGGUGCGACAGCCGCAAGGGUCUUCUGCUCGUCUACGAGCUCGUCAGAGAGGGCAGCCUAGACAGGCACCUCUACAGCAAGGACGGUAGGUAUCUGACAUGGCCACAGAGGUACAAGAUAAUCCUUGGCUUGGGAUCGGCGCUACACUACCUCCAUGGAGAGUGGGAGCAGUGCAUCGUGCACGGCAACAUUAAGCCCAGCAACAUCAUCCUUGACUCGUCCAUGAGCACCAAGCUCGGUGACUUCGGGUUAGCCCGGCUCGUGGACCACGACACGGGGUUUCUGCAGACUACCAAGGCCGUGCUCGGCACCGUCGGCUACAUCGACCCGGAGUUCGUCAACACGCGUCGGCCGUGCACCGAGUCGGACGUGUACAGCUUUGGUGUUGUCCUCCAGGAGAUCGUAUCCGGCCGGCGGCUAGUGAUGGAGACUGUGGGGAAAUCCUUCACACUGGUAAGGUGGGUGUGGGGCCUGUACGGCAGGGACGUGAUCCUCGACGCGGUGGAUGAGUGGCUGAGGGGUGAUGAGGCCAACGACCGGUGGAUGGUGCUGGUGCUCGUUGUUGGGCUCUGGUGCGCGCACCUGGACCGGAGCAAGCGGCCAUCUGUUGCCCAGGCCAUGCACGUCCUGCAGUCCGACGAGGUGAGGCUACCAGCACUCGCGCUGGACAUGUGGAUUGUGUGA
RNAcentral lists this ribosomal RNA (2127 nucleotides) under Triticum aestivum (bread wheat). RNAcentral describes it as "partial small subunit ribosomal RNA". The record is from RNAcentral. Lineage: Eukaryota; Viridiplantae; Streptophyta; Magnoliopsida; Poales; Poaceae.